CUAGCUUCUCCUUUCUCUCCAUCUUCUCCUUCUCAGCCUCCAUUAUUUUUGCCUUUCAAUUUAUUAACUGAAGAUGGCGAAGCAACGAGCUCGCAGAGAUCCUCAUGAUCUCCAGGAGUUAGGAGUUUCGUUCAUGGCGCUAGGGUUCCAAAUUUAUCUAGCUUCUGUCUAUCUUCCCAAGCAAAUUUCUCUCAUAAUCUCGGAUCUUAUAGGAGUGCCACGGGAUCUAUCUUCUGGAACAACUAAUAAUGAUGCCUGUGAGAAGCUAGCAGUGGUGGGUUUCGGUACGAAGCCUAAUCCCUAUGCAAGUGCUGGAAUAAUGGCCGAGCACGAGCUGGUCAUAUGCUUGCAAAGGUUCUAUGGUCCUAAUUUUCUUGAUACAAAGGUUCUAUGGUCCUAAUGAAGGCCAGGGAAGGUUUAGAUAGCGUACGUGGACAUCAAAACGCUGCAAUUAAGUUGGCUACGACGUUAUCAAACUGGGCUGGUGGAUGAUCAAGAAGCUGCAACAG
This is a long non-coding RNA of Prosopis cineraria, 509 nucleotides long. RefSeq lists it as uncharacterized. The transcript is spliced from 3 exons. NCBI's taxonomy places the organism in Eukaryota, Viridiplantae, Streptophyta, Magnoliopsida, Fabales, Fabaceae. The record is from RefSeq and is a predicted model, not a curated record.